GUCGUUAACCUGGGGUAAAACUGUUUUGAAAACAUUUAAUAAGUGUUCAAUUCACUUUAACGAUU
RNAcentral lists this transfer RNA (65 nucleotides) under Callochiton steinenii. Its description in RNAcentral is "tRNA-Ser". Lineage: Eukaryota; Metazoa; Mollusca; Polyplacophora; Chitonida; Callochitonidae. The record is from RNAcentral.